GAAUUCGCCCUUAGAGUUUGAUCCUGGCUCAGGAUGAACGCUGGCGGCGUGCCUAACACAUUCAAGUCGAACGGAGAUAUUUUAGUUAAUCCUUCGGGAAGCGUGAAGACAGCUUAAUGGCCGACGGGUGAGUAACGCCUGAGGAACCUGCCCCUGGGAGAGGGAUAACGACCGGAAACAAUCCCAAAUACCUCAUAACACGUAUUUAACGCAUGUUAAAUACGUCAAAGAUUUAUCGCACAGGGAUGGCCUCUCGUCUGAUUAGAUAGUUGGUACGGUACCGGCCUACCAAGUCUACGAUCCGUAGCCGGACUGAGAGGUUGAACGGCCACAUUGGAACUGAAAUACUCUCCAGACUCCUACGGGAGGCAGCAGCGGGGAAUAUUGGGCAAUGGGCGCAAGCCUGACCCAGCGACGCCGCGUAAGCGAAGACGGUGUUCGCAUUGUAAACCUUAAACAUCAGGGACGAACAAAUGCCGGUACAUGAAAGGAAGCCACGGCUAACUACGUCCCAGCAGCUGCGGUAAUACGUAGGUGGCGAGUCUUAUCCGGAUUUACUGGGUGUAAUGGGUGUGUAGGCGGGUUUUCAAGUCAGGUAUGAAAUCCCUGAGCUCAACUCCGGAGCUGCACUUGAACCUGCAAAUCUUCAGUGUCGGAGGGGUAGAUUGAAUUCCCGGUGUAGCGGUGAAAUGAGUUGAUAUCGGGAGGAACACGCGGUGGCGAAGUCUGUCUACUGGACGACAACUGACGGUGAUACACCAAAGCGUGGGGACCAAACAGGAUUCGAUACCCUGGUAGUCCACACCGUAA
This 810-nucleotide ribosomal RNA is filed under the name uncultured bacterium. Its description in RNAcentral is "bacterial SSU rRNA". It matches the Rfam family "Bacterial small subunit ribosomal RNA", at positions 1 to 805 of the family's 1533-position model. The record is from RNAcentral.